AUUGAACGCUGGCGGCAGGCCUAACACAUGCAAGUCGAGCGGAUGAAGGGAGCUUGCUCCUGGAUUCAGCGGCGGACGGGUGAGUAAUGCCUAGGAAUCUGCCUGGUAGUGGGGGAUGACGUCCGGAAACGGGCGCUAAUACCGCGUACGUCCUGAGGGAGAAAGUGGGGGAUCUUCGGACCUCACGCUAUCAGAUGAGCCUAGGUCGGAUUAGCUAGUUGGUGGGGUAAAGGCCUACCAAGGCGACGAUCCGUAACUGGUCUGAGAGGAUGAUCAGUCACACUGGAACUGAGACACGGUCCAGACUCCUACGGGAGGCAGCAGUGGGGAAUAUUGGACAAUGGGCGAAAGCCUGAUCCAGCCAUGCCGCGUGUGUGAAGAAGGUCUUCGGAUUGUAAAGCACUUUAAGUUGGGAGGAAGGGCAGUAAGUUAAUACCUUGCUGUUUUGACGUUACCAACAGAAUAAGCACCGGCUAACUUCGUG
RNAcentral lists this ribosomal RNA (484 nucleotides) under uncultured bacterium. RNAcentral's name for it is "partial 16S ribosomal RNA". It matches the Rfam family "Bacterial small subunit ribosomal RNA", at positions 30 to 507 of the family's 1533-position model. The record is from RNAcentral.